UACGGUCAUAUCACCUUGAAACACUGGUUCUCGUAUGAUCCCCGGAGUUAAUCAACGUUGAUCCCGAUCAGUACCUAGAUGGGUGACUGUUGGGGAACACCGGGUGCUGU
Non-coding RNA from Acanthosepion pharaonis, 110 nucleotides. Lineage: Eukaryota; Metazoa; Mollusca; Cephalopoda; Sepiida; Sepiidae. The record is from the annotation of a GenBank genome assembly.